UCACUGGGCGUAAAGCGUAUGUAGGCGGAUCAAAAAGUUAGAUGUGAAAUCCCUGGGCUCAACCCAGGAACUGCAUUUAAAACUAGUGAUCUAGAAUUUGGUAGGGGCCAGUAGAAUUUCCAGUGUAGAGGUGAAAUUCGUAGAUAUUGGAAAGAAUACCAGUGGCGAAGGCGACUGGCUGGGCCAUUUUUGACGCUGAGAUACGAAAGCGUGGGUAGCAAACAGGAUUAGAUACCCUGGUAGUCCACGCAGUAAACGAUGAGUGCUAGUCGCUGGGACAAUAGUUUCAGUGUCGAAGCUAACGCAUUAAGCACUCCGCCUGGGAAGUACGGUCGCAAGAUUAAAACUCAAAUAAAUUGACGGGGGCCCGCACAAGCGGUGGAGCAUGUGGUUUAAUUCGAAGCAACGCGAAGAACCUUACCAGACCUUGACAUGGUAUGUUUGAAUUACAGAAUCGUAAUUCUUCAGUUCGGCUGGCAUACACACAGGUGCUGCAUGGCU
RNAcentral lists this ribosomal RNA (501 nucleotides) under uncultured Rickettsiales bacterium. RNAcentral's name for it is "bacterial SSU rRNA". It matches the Rfam family "Bacterial small subunit ribosomal RNA", at positions 551 to 1050 of the family's 1533-position model. Lineage: Bacteria; Pseudomonadati; Pseudomonadota; Alphaproteobacteria; Rickettsiales. The record is from RNAcentral.